GGGGGCAACCCUGAUCCAGCAAUGCCGCGUGUGUGAAGAAGGCCUUCGGGUUGUAAAGCACUUUUGUCCGGAAAGAAAUCGCCUGGGUUAAUACCCUGGGUGGAUGACGGUACUGGAAGAAUAAGCACCGGCUAACUACGUGCCAGCAGCCGCGGUAAUACGUAGGGUGCGAGCGUUAAUCGGAAUUACUGGGCGUAAAGCGUGCGCAGGCGGUUGUGCAAGACAGAUGUGAAAUCCCCGGGCUUAACCUGGGAAUGGCAUUUGUGACUGCACGGCUAGAGUGUGUCAGAGGGGGGUAGAAUUCCACGUGUAGCAGUGAAAUGCGUAGAUAUGUGGAGGAACACCGAUGGCGAAGGCAGCCCCCUGGGAUAACACUGACGCUCAUGCACGAAAGCGUGGGGAGCAAACAGGAUUAGAUACCCUGGUAGUCCACGCCCUAAACGAUGUCAACUAGUUGUCGGGGAUUAAUUUCCUUGGUAACGCAGCUAACGCGUGAAGUUGACCGCCUGGGGAGUACGGUCGCAAGAUUAAAACUCA
RNAcentral lists this ribosomal RNA (537 nucleotides) under Noviherbaspirillum agri. RNAcentral's name for it is "bacterial SSU rRNA". It matches the Rfam family "Bacterial small subunit ribosomal RNA", at positions 373 to 903 of the family's 1533-position model. Lineage: Bacteria; Pseudomonadati; Pseudomonadota; Betaproteobacteria; Burkholderiales; Oxalobacteraceae. The record is from RNAcentral.